GGAAUUCGGCCAUUACGGCCGGGGCUGGCGGUAUGCUUAACACAUGCAAGUUGAACGAAGAUAAUAGUUCAUUGAAUUAUAAUACUUAGUAGCGGACGGGUGAGUAACGCGUAAGAAUCUACCUUUAGGAAAAGGAUAACAACUGGAAACGGUUGCUAAUACUUUAUAUGCUGAGAAGUUAAAUAGGUUACUGCCUAAAGAUGAGCUUGCGUCUGAUUAGCUAGUUGGUAAGGUAAAGGCUUACCAAGGCAAUUAUCAGUAGUUGGUCUGAGAGGAUGAUCAGCCACACUGGGACUGAGACACGGCCCAGACUCCUACGGGAGGCAGCAGUGAGGAAUUUUUCGCAAUGGGCGCAAGCCUGACGAAGCAAUACCGCGUGAAGGAUGAAGGCCUGCGGGUUGUAAACUUCUUUUAUUAGAGAAGAUAAUGACGGUAUCUAAUGAAUAAGCAUCGGCCAAAUAUGUGCCAGCAGCCGCGGUAAGACAUAUGAUGCAAGCGUUAUCCGGAAUGAUUGGGCGUAAAGCGUCUGUAGGUUGUUUAAAAAGUCAACUGUCAAAAACUAAAGCUCAACUUUAGGCAGGCAGUUGAAACUUUUAGACUAGAGUAUGGCAGAGGUAGAGGGAAUUACUGGUGUAACGGUGAAAUGUGCAGAUAUCAGUAAGAACACCAAUGGCGAAAGCACUCUACUGGACCAAAACUGACACUCAGAGACGAAAGCUAGGGGAGCGAAUAGGAUUAGAUACCCUAGUAGUCCUAGCUGUAAACGAUGGAAACUAAAUA
RNAcentral lists this ribosomal RNA (780 nucleotides) under Ulva prolifera. Its description in RNAcentral is "bacterial SSU rRNA". It matches the Rfam family "Bacterial small subunit ribosomal RNA", at positions 1 to 822 of the family's 1533-position model. Lineage: Eukaryota; Viridiplantae; Chlorophyta; Ulvophyceae; Ulvales; Ulvaceae. The record is from RNAcentral.